RNAcentral lists this ribosomal RNA (405 nucleotides) under uncultured bacterium. RNAcentral describes it as "bacterial SSU rRNA". It matches the Rfam family "Bacterial small subunit ribosomal RNA", at positions 355 to 774 of the family's 1533-position model. The record is from RNAcentral. RNAcentral also lists the same sequence under 1 other name.
UGGGGAAUAUUGGACAAUGGACCAAAAGUCUGAUCCAGCAAUUCUGUGUGCACGAUGACGGUCUUAGGAUUGUAAAGUGCUUUCAAUCGGGAAAAAGAAAGUGAUGGUACCGAUAGAAGAAGCGACGGCUAAAUACGUGCCAGCAGCCGCGGUAAUACGUAUGUCGCAAGCGUUAUCCGGAUUUAUUGGGCGUAAAGCGCGUCUAGGCGGUCUGGUAAGUCUGAUGUGGAAAUGCGGGGCUCAACUCCGUAUUGCGUUGGAAACUGCCAGACUAGAGUACUGGAGAGGUGGGCGGAACUACAAGUGUAGAGGUGAAAUUCGUAGAUAUUUGUAGGAAUGCCGAUAGAGAAGUCAGCUCACUGGACAGAUACUGACGCUGAAGCGCGAAAGCAUGGGGAGCAAACA